RNAcentral lists this ribosomal RNA (1216 nucleotides) under Euphyllodromia sp. Z257. Its description in RNAcentral is "16S ribosomal RNA". The stretch from base 1003 to 1165 matches the Rfam family "Archaeal large subunit ribosomal RNA", at positions 2542 to 2701 of the family's 2987-position model. Lineage: Eukaryota; Metazoa; Arthropoda; Insecta; Blattodea; Pseudophyllodromiidae. The record is from RNAcentral.
GAUUUUGUUUAUAAAUUGUUUAUAAAAAAUAAUUUAGGGUUUUUGUAUUUUAUUUUGAUUUAAUUAUAUUUUUAUUUGUACUGUAAGGGGUAGAAUAUUUAAUUAUAUUAUAAUUUUUGUAAGUAGAUUUUUUUUAUUUUACCUUGUGUAUCAGGGUUAAUUAAAAUUUUUCAUUUAUAUUGUUUUUCCCGAUUUUAGAAGAGUUAAUUGAUUAAUAUAAUUCUUGGUUUUAAACAUGUUUUUAAUAAUUAAUUGGUAGUGACAUGUUAAUAGAUUUUAAUGAUUUCUGGUUUUUUGAGAAAUGAAUUUAAUUCAUACAUUUAAUUUUAUUUUCUUUAUUUUGAUUUGUAUUAUUAAGUGUAAAUAUUUUAGGGGAUUAGCUCUUAAGUUAUAGUUUUUAUAUUAAUUUAUUUAAAUAUAUUUAAAUAUUGUUGUUUUAAUAGUAAUUAUUGAUUUGAGAAUGUAUUAAUUUUAUUUUUAGUUAAUUUAUUUACUUUUUUUUAUUAAGUUUUAUAUUGGAUUGUUUUAUCAAAUUUUAUUUUAUUUGUAAUUAUGAUUAAAUUAGUAUAAUUGUUUAAUUAAUAUGAGGAAUUAGACAAAUAGUUUUACUCGCCUGUUUAACAAAAACAUCUUUUCUUGUUUAUUUUUGAAAUAUUACCUGCCCAAUGAAUAUUUAAAUGGCCGCAGUAUUUUGACUGUGCAAAGGUAGCAUAAUCAUUAGUUUUUUAAUUGGAGGCUGGAAUGAAUGGUUUGACGAAAUAAAUAUUAUCUUAUUUUAAUUUAUUUUAGAAUUUAAUUAUUAUGUUAAAAGGCUUAAAUUUUUUAAUGGGACGAGAAGACCCUAUAGAAUUUUAUAUAAUUUUUUUUUGUUAGUUAUUUAAAUUUAAUUAAUUAAUAUUUUGUUGGGGUGAUAGUUGGAUAUAAAAAACUCUAAUUUAUUGUGUUUAUUAAUUAAUAUUUUUUUGAUCCUUUGUUUUGAUUAUAAGUUUAAAUUACCUUAGGGAUAACAGCGUAAUUUUUUUUGAGAGGUCUUAUUGACAAAGGAGAUUGCGACCUCGAUGUUGGAUUAGGAUAAAUUGAUAAUGGUGUAGAAGCUAUAAAUAUUAGGUCUGUUCGACCUUUAAAAUCCUACAUGAUCUGAGUUCAAAUCGGUGUAAGCCAGAUUGGUUUCUAUCUAUUAAAUGAGUUAAUACUUUAGUACGAAAGGACCAAGUAU